Molecule: long non-coding RNA, 222 nt
Filed under: Malus domestica (apple)
Lineage: Eukaryota; Viridiplantae; Streptophyta; Magnoliopsida; Rosales; Rosaceae
Description: long non-coding RNA (MDOM_LNC005676)
Source: RNAcentral
GUCAAGAGUAUUGUAUUAGAGAAAGACCGUAUUGCAUUUGUAAUCCCAAACUGAAUAGGUUUUCUCUACCUUUUCUGAUUAGCUUGGGUAACCAUGAUAUGCUGCAAGGUGUCACUCAUGGUUUGUGGAAGCCCUAAACGUGUAUAAACACUAAAGGGAGAAUUGAAAGUAAGUUUCAAUUCACAAUCGAUUUGAAAUGGUUUUAAUCGCCCACUGCCUCGC